This 508-nucleotide ribosomal RNA is filed under the name uncultured bacterium. Its description in RNAcentral is "bacterial SSU rRNA". It matches the Rfam family "Bacterial small subunit ribosomal RNA", at positions 21 to 518 of the family's 1533-position model. The record is from RNAcentral.
GGCUCAGGAUGAACGCUAGCUACAGGCUUAACACAUGCAAGUCGAGGGGCAGCAUUGGGAUAGCUUGCUAUCCAGAUGGCGACCGGCGCACGGGUGAGUAACGCGUAUCCAACCUUCCCUAUAGUAGAGAAUAGCCCGGCGAAAGUCGGAUUAAUGCUCUAUGUUGUGUUUUGAGGACAUCUGACGAACACCAAAGGUUCACCGCUAUAGGAUGGGGAUGCGUCUGAUUAGCUUGUUGGCGGGGUAGCGGCCCACCAAGGCGACGAUCAGUAGGGGUUCUGAGAGGAAGGUCCCCCACAUUGGUACUGAGACACGGACCAAACUCCUACGGGAGGCAGCAGUGAGGAAUAUUGGUCAAUGGGCGAGAGCCUGAACCAGCCAAGUAGCGUGCAGGAAUGACUGCCCUAUGGGUUGUAAACUGCUUUUAUCAGGGAAUAAAGUGCGGCACGUGUGCCGUUUUGUAUGUACCUGAUGAAUAAGGACCGGCUAAUUCCGUGCCAGCCGCCGC